Molecule: ribosomal RNA, 477 nt
Filed under: uncultured bacterium
Lineage: Bacteria
Description: bacterial SSU rRNA
Rfam family: Bacterial small subunit ribosomal RNA
Source: RNAcentral
AAUAUUGCGCAAUGGGGGGAAACCCUGACGCAGCAACGCCGCGUGUGGGAAGAAGGCCUUCGGGUCGUAAACCACUUUUUGCACGGGACGAAAAAAGGGAUAUCGAACAAAUAUCCCCCGAUGACGGUACCGUGAGAAUAAGCCACGGCUAACUCUGUGCCAGCAGCCGCGGUAAGACAGAGGUGGCAAGCGUUGUUCGGAAUUACUGGGCGUAAAGAGUCUGUAGGUGGUUUGUCAAGUCUUUGGUGAAAAGGCCGUAGCUUAACUAUGGGAAUGCCAAAGAGACUGGCAGGCUGGAGGCUGGGAGAGGGAAGCGGAAUUUCUGGUGUAGCGGUGAAAUGCGUAGAUAUCAGAAGGAAGGCCGGUGGCGAAGGCGGCUUCCUGGAACAGUCCUGACACUGAGAGACGAAAGCGUGGGGAGCAAACAGGAUUAGAUACCCUGGUAGUCCACGCCCUAAACGAUGGGUACUAAGUGUG